UGCAGUCGAACGCAGUAGCAAUACUGAGUGGCAGACGGGUGAGUAUAAUGUGGGUAUCUGCCUUUUGGUUUGGAAUAACUUGGGGAAACUCGAGCUAAUACCGGAUAAGCCCUUACGGGGAAAGCUUUAUGCGCCAAGAGAUGAGCCCGCACUUGAUUAGCUUGUUGGUGAGGUAAAGGCUCACCAAGGCAACGAUCAAUAGCUGUUCUUAGAGGAAGACCAGCCACAUUGGGACUGAGACACGGCCCAGACUCCUACGGGAGGCAGCAGUAGGGAAUCUUGCACAAUGGGGGAAACCCUGAUGCAGCGAUGCCGCGUGAGUGAAGAAGGCCUUUGGGUUGUAAAACUCUUUCGUCGGGGAAGAAAAUGACGGUACCCGAAUAAGAAGGUCCGGCUAACUUCGUGCCAGCAGCCGCGGUAAUACGAAGGGAUCUAGCGUAGUUCGGAAUUACUGGGCUUAAAGAGCUCGUAGGUGGUUAAAAAAGUUGAUGGUGAAAUCCCAAGGCUUAACCUUGGAACUGCCAUCAAAACUUUUUAGCUAGAGUAUGAUAGAGGAAAGUGGAAUUUCUAGUGUAGAGGUGAAAUUCGUAGAUAUUAGAAAGAACACCAAAUGCGAAGGCAACUUUCUGGAUCAUUACUGACACUGAGGAGCGAAAGCAUGGGUAGCGAAGAGGAUUAGAUACCCUCGUAGUCCAUGCUGUAAACGAUGUGUGUUA
RNAcentral lists this ribosomal RNA (716 nucleotides) under uncultured Candidatus Pelagibacter sp. RNAcentral's name for it is "bacterial SSU rRNA". It matches the Rfam family "Bacterial small subunit ribosomal RNA", at positions 56 to 818 of the family's 1533-position model. Lineage: Bacteria; Pseudomonadati; Pseudomonadota; Alphaproteobacteria; Candidatus Pelagibacterales; Candidatus Pelagibacteraceae. The record is from RNAcentral.